UAGGGAAUCUUCCGCAAUGGGCGAAAGCCUGACGGAGCAACGCCGCGUGAGUGAUGAAGGUCUUCGGAUCGUAAAACUCUGUUAUUAGGGAAGAACAAAUGUGUAAGUAACUAUGCACGUCUUGACGGUACCUAAUCAGAAAGCCACGGCUAACUACGUGCUAGCAGCCGCGGUAAUACGUAGGUGGCAAGCGUUAUCCGGAAUUAUUGGGCGUAAAGCGCGCGUAGACGGUUUUUUAAGUCUGAUGUGAAAGCCCACGGCUCAACCGUGGAGGGUCAUUGGAAACUGGAAAACUUGAGUGCAGAAGAGGAAAGUGGAAUUCCAUGUGUAGCGGUGAAAUGCGCAGAGAUAUGGAGGAACACCAGUGGCGAAGGCGACUUUCUGGUCUGUAACUGACGCUGAUGUGCGAAAGCGUGGGGAUCAAACAGG
Molecule: ribosomal RNA, 429 nt
Filed under: Actinomycetes bacterium
Lineage: Bacteria; Bacillati; Actinomycetota; Actinomycetes
Description: Actinobacteria bacterium partial 16S ribosomal RNA
Rfam family: Bacterial small subunit ribosomal RNA
Source: RNAcentral